CCUACGGGAGGCAGCAGUGAGGAAUAUUGGUCAAUGGGCGGAAGCCUGAACCAGCCAAGUAGCGUGCGGGAUGACGGCCCUACGGGUUGUAAACCGCUUUUGCACGGGGAUAACGCGCUUCACGUGUGGCGCUCUGCAGGUACCGUACGAAUAAGGACCGGCUAAUUCCGUGCCAGCAGCCGCGGUAAUACGGAAGGUCCGGGCGUUAUCCGGAUUUAUUGGGUUUAAGGGGAGCGUAGGCGGCCGUUCAAGGCAGCUGUAAAAUGCCGGGGCUCAACCCGGCCCUGCAGUGGAAACUGGAGUACUUGAGUCCGCAACAGGCAGGCGGAAUUCGUGGUGUAGCGGUGAAAUGCAUAGAUAUGACGAAGAACCCCGAUUGCGAAGGCAGCUUGCUGGGGCGCGACUGACGCUGAGGCUCGAAGGCGCGGGUAUCAAACAGGAUUAGAUACCCGGGUAGUC
Molecule: ribosomal RNA, 459 nt
Filed under: uncultured bacterium
Lineage: Bacteria
Description: partial 16S ribosomal RNA
Rfam family: Bacterial small subunit ribosomal RNA
Source: RNAcentral